CUUAAAAUCCGUCGACUUUAGAAAUCGUGAGGGUUCAAGUCCCUCUAUCCCCCUCAAAAAGGGCCCGUUUGA
This 72-nucleotide transfer RNA is filed under the name Saxifraga muscoides. RNAcentral's name for it is "partial tRNA-Leu". The record is from RNAcentral. Lineage: Eukaryota; Viridiplantae; Streptophyta; Magnoliopsida; Saxifragales; Saxifragaceae.